UACGGGGGGGGCAAGCGUUGUUCGGAAUUACUGGGCGUAAAGGGCUCGUAGGCGGCCAACUAAGUCGGAUGUGAAAUCCCCAAGCUUAACUUGGGAACUGCAUCCGAUACUGGACGGCUAGAGUCUGGUAGGGGGAUCUGGAAUUCCUGGUGUAGCGGUGGAAUGCGCAGAUAUCAGGAGGAACACCGGUGGCGAAGGCGGGAUCCUGGGCCAGUACUGACGCUGAGGAGCGAAAGCGUGGGGAGCAAACAGG
RNAcentral lists this ribosomal RNA (253 nucleotides) under uncultured bacterium. Its description in RNAcentral is "partial 16S ribosomal RNA". It matches the Rfam family "Bacterial small subunit ribosomal RNA", at positions 524 to 776 of the family's 1533-position model. The record is from RNAcentral.